UUCCCAUACUUCAGUAUUAGAUAAAACGCAAGAGGCUCUGCGAUUCCUUCAAUCUGCUUGUCACCGAGGCCAAAUGCGACAGACUCUUCUUCUGCAAGAAGGAGCCAAACGAGGGGCUGAGCAGUUCUGCCCUUUCCUUGUUACCAGCCACUAUUGGGUCAUCUUUGUGGUGCAGUUGGUCUACCAUUCCCUUUGCCCCCCUUUUACUUGGAACAUGCCUGAAGAAUCCCUUCUUGAGAUCCCUCACCAACACCAGCUCACCUUGAGUUUCAGCCUUCCUGACACCAUUCCUGCCAAGCGAUCUGCCCGGAAACCUCCUUAGUGACUUGUCCCACUUCCUUUAUGUGUUCCUUCCCAUGUUCAGAUCAGCAUUGUAUUUUUUGUGUUAACCACAGUGGCUUUUUCUGUAUCUUCCGCAGAAGAGGUUGGAGCAGUUGUGAGGGCUACAUACAACCUCCUACAUCAGAGGGUGCUCUGCCAACAAGUUGCUGAAGAACGUGAGCAGGAGGCGAUACUGCACUGUAUCCGACUUCUGGGUUUCCUACGGGUUUCUGCUUGGUUUCCGCAUGAAGAAAAUGCCGGACUAGAUGGACUUUGGUCUGAUUCCACACGGCUCUUCCAUUGUUUUCCCUCACUGGGAUUUUUUCUGAUAGUACUUUUAGUAUCCCUUCUUUAGCAGCUUCCAUCCUUUUGAACUUCUCUUCCUGUUCGGCUUUCCUGCAAGGAAAUCCUUUUUACCAUUGCUCUGGUUUUAUUAAUAUUGGCUUUCCUGAACUUGAAGGUAAAUGUUUGACUACAUUCAGGUUUAGAUUUCCUUAAAAUCCUGCUACAUUCCUACUACUUCCUACACCUCACCGACUAACUCUUCCCUACUGCUCAGAACUGAAGCAAGGGCAGGAUGACUGAUCCCUUCACUCCUUCCUCCACCAACUGAAAAAUAAUGCUUUCAGCAAGGGAUAGCAGGAAUUUCCUGGAAAUACUAUGCUUGGCAGAAUUUGUCCUCCAACAGACAUAAGCAUAAUUCAAGUCCCCCGUUACUGUGACUUCAUACGUCCUUGAAAUGUCUGCAGUUUCCACUUGAAAAGCAUCAUCCACAUCAACCCUGUGCACCCACCCUGUAACAUUUGCCUAAGUCCCUGCAAUGGCAUUCCAUAAAGCAACCAAAUCUUGGACUAAGCAACUGGACCCAAAUGGAAACUGGAACCAUUUACAAAAUGUCACAGACCAUGAAGAUUUCAGACUUCUGAGCCUGGUUCAGUUGAAGAGAAAGACUUUUCCAUGGCAGACCUGCCCCUUCAGAAAAACCUCCUACAAGCUGGAGGAUGUGCUGUUAUCAAGAGACAACAUUGCAAGCCUAGAUAUCCGUGAAUCAGGCCCAUACACUGUUGUGGACAAGGAGACUCGGAAAGGGAAGGGUGAUGUUGGUGGAAGUGCUGACAUUGCAUCUGCAAAUCUAAUGGCCUCGGCCAGGGCAUCCCAUGAGUGGCAAGUGAAUCUGAAGAAGAAAAGCAUCCCUGAACACAAGGUCUAUACUCUAGAAAAGUAAGGCUGGAUGAAAGCUAAGCACACUCAUUCAUGCUUGACUUUCAGGGGCAAAUAGAGGUCCAAGAACAGGAGUUCUCUAGCAUAUUAUUAUAAUUGCUAAUAUUUUUUUUUUUUUUAUUUAUAUACCUCCCAAUGGCCAAAGCUCCCUGGCUGGUUUACAGCAACAGAUAAAUCACAUUAUAAAAUGCAGGCUAUGUUAAAAGCAUCAUCAAAACUAUAUUAGAAACUUUAAAAUCAGUUUUAAAAGCUACAAUAAUUAAUAUAGAGAUGUGAAAAUCCUACAAGAAUCUGGCUCCCUUGUGUUCACCAGACCAUCUUCUCAUGCUUGGCCCUGGCUUAGAAAACAGGCUGAGCUGAGUUCAAGUCCACACUCUCUUGCCAAUGCCAGUGGACCCUUACUUUGCCCUGAGUUAUCCUUGUACAAAGCCUGCAAUGCACAUGUGCAGAAGAAGAACUCCCUUUCAUAGCGUGUGCCGUGUGUGGGAGCCAACCCUGUAGAACCGCUUCCUGCCACUUGUUAUGUAAGUAGCUUCCGACC
Varanus komodoensis (Komodo dragon) is the source of this 2083-nucleotide long non-coding RNA. RefSeq lists it as uncharacterized. The record is from RefSeq and is a predicted model, not a curated record. The transcript has 3 exons. Lineage: Eukaryota; Metazoa; Chordata; Lepidosauria; Squamata; Varanidae.